AAUAUGCUAGUUUAAUAAAAACAUUAAAUUGUAAAUUUAAAAAUAUAUAUUUGCAUAUUA
This 60-nucleotide transfer RNA is filed under the name Hirudo medicinalis (medicinal leech). Its description in RNAcentral is "tRNA-Tyr". Lineage: Eukaryota; Metazoa; Annelida; Clitellata; Hirudinida; Hirudinidae. The record is from RNAcentral.